GUGCCCAGGCGCGAAAACUUUACACUGCUGGCAACAGCGAUAAGGGGACCUUGAGUGCCAGGAUACAAUCCUGGCUGUCGUGAUGCCUAAAAAGCAUUAUAUAGCAAGGGCCGGGCAAGACCGGUGCCAGCCGCCGCGGUAACACCGGCGGCUCGAGUGGUAACCGCUAUUAUUGGGUCUAAAGGGUCUGUAGCCGGCUUGGUUAGUCUCUUGGGAAAUCCGGCAGCUUAACUGUCGGGCUUUCAGGAGAUACUGCCAGGCUCGAGACCGGGAGAGGUGAGAGGUACUUCAUGGGUAGGGGUGAAAUCUUGUAAUCCUUGAAGGACCACCAGUGGCGAAGGCGUCUCACCAGAACGGAUCUGACGGCAAGGGACGAAAGCUAGGGGCACGAACCGGAUUAGAUACCCGGGUAGUCCUAGCCGUAAACGAUACUCGCUAGGUGUCGGCCACGGUGCGACCGUGGUCGGUGCCGUAGGGAAGCCGUGAAGCGAGCCACCUGGGAAGUACGGCCGCAAGGCUGAAACUUAAAGGAAUUGGCGGGGGAGCAC
This 548-nucleotide ribosomal RNA is filed under the name uncultured archaeon. Its description in RNAcentral is "bacterial SSU rRNA". It matches the Rfam family "Archaeal small subunit ribosomal RNA", at positions 330 to 879 of the family's 1478-position model. The record is from RNAcentral.